RNAcentral lists this ribosomal RNA (471 nucleotides) under uncultured Acholeplasma sp. RNAcentral describes it as "bacterial SSU rRNA". It matches the Rfam family "Bacterial small subunit ribosomal RNA", at positions 913 to 1382 of the family's 1533-position model. Lineage: Bacteria; Bacillati; Mycoplasmatota; Mollicutes; Acholeplasmatales; Acholeplasmataceae. The record is from RNAcentral.
UUGCGGGGACCCGCACAAGCGGUGGAGGAUGUGGUUUAAUUCGACGCAACGCGAAGAACCUUACCUAGGCUUGACAUGCUGGCGAAAACCGUGGAAACACGGUCCUCCCGCAAGGGACGCUAGUACAGGUGGUGCAUGGCUGUCGUCAGCUCGUGUCGUGAGAUGUUGGGUUAAGUCCCGCAACGAGCGCAACCCUUAUUGCUAGUUACCAUCAUUAAGUUGGGGACUCUAGCGAGACUGCCAGUGAUAAACUGGAGGAAGGUGGGGAUGACGUCAAAUCAUCAUGCCCCUUAUGACCUGGGCUACAAACGUGAUACAAUGGCUGAAACAAAGGGCAGCGAAGCAGUGAUGUGGAGCGAAACCCAAAAAAGCAGUCUCAGUUCGGAUUGAAGUCUGCAACUCGACUUCAUGAAGUUGGAAUCGCUAGUAAUCGUAGAUCAGAACGCUACGGUGAAUACGUUCUCGGGGUUU